RNAcentral lists this ribosomal RNA (465 nucleotides) under uncultured bacterium. Its description in RNAcentral is "partial 16S ribosomal RNA". It matches the Rfam family "Bacterial small subunit ribosomal RNA", at positions 38 to 507 of the family's 1533-position model. The record is from RNAcentral.
GGGGGGGGGGGGCGGGGGGCUGAGCGGGGGCGGGUCGGGCGGGGAGGCCCCGGUGGGGGUACGCGAGGGGCGAACGGGGGCGUAACACGCGAGUAACCUGCCCUUGACGUCGGGAUAACUUCAGGCAACUGGGGCCAAUACCGGGCAGGAAUCCUUGCUGCAUGGGGGGGGUUGGAAAGCGUCGGGGGUGUUGGAUGGACUCCCGGCCUCUCCGCUUUGUGGGGGGGUAGUGGCCUACCAAGGCGUUGACGGGUAGCCGGCCGGAGCGGGGGCCCGGCCCGAUUGGGCCUGGGAUGCGGCCCAGACGCCUACGGGAGGCAGGAGGGGGGAAGAUUGCACAAUGGGCGGGAGCCGGAUGCAGCAACGCCGCGUGCGGGAUGACGGCCUUCGGGUUGUAAACCGCUUUCAGCAGGGGCGAAGCUUGUGGUGACGGUACCUGCAGAAGAAGCACCGGCUAACUACGUG